Molecule: RNA transcript, 426 nt
Organism: Apaloderma vittatum (bar-tailed trogon)
Lineage: Eukaryota; Metazoa; Chordata; Aves; Trogoniformes; Trogonidae
Gene name: LIM/homeobox protein Lhx9 pseudogene
Exons: 1
Source: RefSeq, a predicted model, not a curated record
AGGUUCUCCGUGCAGAGAUGUGCCCGCUGCCACCUUGGGAUCUCAGCCUCCGAAAUGGUCAUGAGAGCCAGGGAGUCGGUUUAUCACCUGAGCUGCUUCACCUGCACCACCUGCAACAAGACUCUGACCACAGGCGAUCACUUUGGCAUGAAGGACAACCUGGUUUACUGCAGGGCCCACUUCGAGUCCCUUUUGCAAGGAGAAUAUCCCCCUCAGCUGAGCUACACCGAGCUGGCUGCCAAGAGCGGAGGGCUGGCCCUGCCUUACUUCAACGGCACUGGCACAGUCCAGAAGGGGAGGCCCAGGAAACGAAAGAGCCCUGCCUUGGGAGUGGACAUCGUCAACUACAACUCAGGUGGGAAACACACGCCCAACCUUCCUCCCGCUCCUCUGAAAAGAGCGUUCUCGGGCUUCCCUCCAAGCUAG